Molecule: ribosomal RNA, 409 nt
Filed under: actinobacterium enrichment culture clone LiUU-16-384
Lineage: Bacteria; Bacillati; Actinomycetota; Actinomycetes
Description: bacterial SSU rRNA
Rfam family: Bacterial small subunit ribosomal RNA
Source: RNAcentral
CAGCCGCCGCGGUAAUACGUAGGGUGCAAGCGUUGUCCGGAAUUACUGGGCGUAAAGAGCUCGUAGGUGGUUUGUCACGUCGUCUGUGAAAUUCCACAGCUUAACUGUGGGCGUGCAGGCGAUACGGGCUGACUUGAGUACUGUAGGGGUAACUGGAAUUCCCGGUGUAGCGGUGAAAUGCGCAGAUAUCAGGAGGAACACCGAUGGCGAAGGCAGGUUACUGGGCAGUUACUGACGCUGAGGAGCGAAAGCAUGGGUAGCAAACAGGAUUAGAUACCCUGGUAGUCCAUGCCGUAAACGGUGGGCGCUAGGUGUAGGGACCUUUUGGGGUUUCUGUGCCGUAGCUAACGCAUUAAGCGCCCCGCCUGGGGAGUACGGCCGCAAGGCUAAAACUCAAAGGAAUUGACGG